RNAcentral lists this long non-coding RNA (696 nucleotides) under Nicotiana benthamiana. Its description in RNAcentral is "long non-coding RNA (NBEN_LNC017086)". Lineage: Eukaryota; Viridiplantae; Streptophyta; Magnoliopsida; Solanales; Solanaceae. The record is from RNAcentral.
UCAUAAUAAAUUUAGGGGCUCAUAUGUCAAUAUUAAGAAGUUAAGUGGUCAAGUGUUAGUUAGUUAGAGGCGAUUAGAAGUUGGGUCUAUAAAAACCCACUCACGUGUAUCUCAUUUUGUGAUACCAGACUCGUCUUCCUCACCUCCUCAUUUCUCUUCAUCUGUUCUUCCUUAAUUCCUUCCUCCCAUCAAUUGCAUAUUACAUUAGCACAAGUGAAUUCAGCUGAUUUUAUCAUGGUAUUAUAGCGGCGAUAGUGAGUGCAUCAUGUUUCAGGCGAAAUUCAAAAGAUCGGAGCUCCAACGAAACUGAGAUUAAGUCAGCCAUGACGGGAAACAAAGUCGCCUCACUAGAUCACAACCAUCCGAUGUUUUACAACCCUCUGAUGCUCUACAACUCGUCAUAAUACCGCUUAAGUUUACAGAGCAAGAAAAUUACAUUGUGGGGCAGAGCGAUGAAAUUGACGCUCCGUAAAAAAAGUAAGCUAGGGUUUAUAGACGGAACUUGUAUAAAGAGUAUGUACAGAGACAAAUUGACAAAACAAUUGGAAAAAUGCUAUGCGACUAUCUUGUCAUGGAUUGGGAGCAUUAUUGUAUAGGGUGAAUUGAUGCCGAAUAGUGUCUAUGCUUCAAAAUGCAAGGAUAGCGUGGAACGAUUUGAAGGAAAGGUUUGGUAGUGUCAUAUGUGUAUCAGCAUAU